Haliotis rufescens (red abalone) is the source of this 1689-nucleotide long non-coding RNA. RefSeq lists it as uncharacterized. The transcript is spliced from 2 exons. The record is from RefSeq and is a predicted model, not a curated record. Lineage: Eukaryota; Metazoa; Mollusca; Gastropoda; Lepetellida; Haliotidae.
CCGAGUUAAGGACAAUACCACUCACGUUUUGUCCGUCGUUAUCUAAACGCUAUUUACGUAUAGAAACGCCGUUUAUUAACUGCAAACCCAGUUAACGGUAGUAAAUUAUGCACAUUCGCGCUAGCUCGUCUUUACCGCUGUUAAUUUGCUAAGAAGUAGAGCAGAGAGUUUGGAUCCGAGGACAUGCUCGCUGCUCCGCGCUUCCCUUCGCCGGUCCAGCAUGUGUGGAUAUCUGUGUCAAUGAAGACCGGGGAUGCUUGUCGUGCGACGGAAAAGAACUCCCUCCAGAGUUGCUUGUGACAAUUAAAUCCAUUCGUGGUUUGUAUCGACCAUUGAUUUAUUUCUGUUUUGUUCCUGUUUGUUCCUGUUUGGUUCCAGUUUGGUUCCUGAAUCAGACUAAACACGAAGUUGUAGUUGCAAACGGGCCAGGGGUAUUUAUCGUCAUAGAAUGGAUAUAUUAUACCCUGAAACAUCAAGAAUGAACAAAUGACAACUAGAUAUAUUUUCAGUGGAAGCGCAGUAACUCAAGCUCAUAUCAGUUGACACUCAGAAAAAAAUCCGUUAAUGCGGCCGAUACCGUAUAAAUCGUCCCGAUUAACAAUUUUCGGAUGAAAACCCAUUUGUAGGAAAGGAGUAACGUCAUGUUGUAUACAUGUAAGCUUUCGAACAGUGAAGCGAUCGGUGGCCUGUCCGAAUUAACAGGAUCCGGUAUAACGACGUUGCUAGAUACACGUAGUCCCGACAAUUUAUCCAUUUAUUAUUACUGCACAUGACACGGAGUCGGUUGAGUCGAUAUAUGGCUGUGACGAUGUGCUUCCUCAUCUCGACAUUUGUUCGCAGGAACUCCGUUAUUUCUGACGGUAACGUUGCCAGAUAUAUUAUCCGGAUUCAUACAUUUACGGAUUAUCGUAGAAUGGACGCAUUAAUUUCUUAUGGACAGUUAUGAAUGCUUGGAGUCCAAAUUAGCAGGGUUCAUUGUAGAAAAAUGAACCUCCUUUAAACGAAUUAUCCAUUGUCACUCUUUGUAAGCUUGAUUACUUAGUUGGGUUUUUUUUAUUAUUGAUUUAAAUAAGUUAUUUUGUUAUCGAAUCAUGAUAAUGAUAGUGAUAAUAAUAUAUAUACUCUGAAAAAAGAAACGCACAAGUGAUUUUAGGUGUAGAUUUAAUAUAUCAUAUUAUAAGUAAUCAACAGAUGGUAAUCGAUUGUUCACAAUUGGCACACAUCAUUGUGGGACACAUAUGGGACACACUGAACAGUAGAUUUUUAAGGUGAAGAACAUCUGUUCUCAACGUCUUGUAUGGCCAUCAUUAGAGUCCAAAACUAACCAGCAGCAUCGUCCCAUGGAAGCAGUCAGAUCCCGAAUUGUGGCCUGGGGAAUGUUUACCAUCUCAGCUCUCAGUGUUUGUGCCAACUGUCGGAGUUUCUGUUGUUUUUCCUUCUUUUCACCAGAUUUCUGCAGUACAUCAUUACUUCUACACAAAUCAAUUUCAAUCCAUGCAGAAAUGAUCAAUUCGUUUUUGGUAUUAUUUUGUAUGUAUGUCGACAACAACGUAGCCAUUUUACUACUUUUGCGUUUCUUUUUUUAAAGAGUAUUUUUUAUUUCAAUGCACUCAAGUUAACGAGCUGUCACCAUAUCUCACAGAUUAAAUGUGUAUCAAUGACAUCUUUAUAAAAAUCCUGAAAUACUCA